UCUGCAAGUGUCUCAAGGCCAAAGACAGGCUGGUGGGAAAGCUCCAACCAGCAAGGCCAUAUGCUCCCCCUCCCCUACCUAAAACCCCAAAUAAAAACCCUUCCUUUUAGGUUUUUGGGGAGUUUGGGAUUUGAGCAUUAGCUACCCUCUCUCCUUGCUCAGCGCUGUGCAAAAAUAAAAUUCCUACUUUCUUCCACCACACCCAGAGUCAUAGAUUGGCUUGCUGUGCAACGAGUGAGCGAACUCACUUCAGUUUUGGUAACAAUUUGGUGACCCAGAUGGGACAAUGUCCCAGGUGGACGUCUCGCCUGGGGCACACCGGCCUCUGGCUAAAGGCCUCUCUUGGAAGCUGUCCUGCAGCUGCCUGAGCCCCUUGUCUCAGGGACAGCCCCAAGCGACUGGCUGCUAACCAGACGAUGUUGGCCCACGAUGCUUUUGCUUUGGUGGUGGAAGAAACUAGGUUUAGGACUCAGGAAGACGUCUCUUGACACAAUUGGAAACACUGGUUAUAUUACCAAGGCUUUGACUGGAACAUCAUAUUUGAAAAAACAUAUGGGCUUAAAUAUAACAAGACAGCUUUUGAAGAAUGAAGGUACAAGGAACCUCAAUAUUUCGGGGAACCUCAUGAAGAGAGGGAUUCACCCAAAUCUGCAGGUACUGCAGGCAGAAUGUGAUAACAGGUCCUUUGCUUGGCUUUCCUUGAGAGGCCUUUAAAGAUCAACCUGAGAUUUCUUAUAAGGUUCCAGCAAAGCAGAUUAAAAAGAGCCUAUAUGAUCAACUACUAUUCUUGCUGUACUUAUGUAAAUAAUUAUUCCAAAUUUAUUAAAACUAGACAUUGUGCAAACCAGUUAGUCUUAAUUUUGCUAUGUCUAGUGAAAUUGAGGGUGAUUUUAGGGAGGAAGAUUAUGUUUCAAUAGAAACUAUAAUUCAUGUUUAUAGAUAUUAGAUUUUAGUUUUUUCAAUUGUCCUUUUGAAAUUUUUGUUUUACUUCUGUUAACUAGACUGGAUCUUAAAUUCUUCAUCUCCUGAACUACCUGGCCAAAAACCUCCAAGCUAACAUUUUCAGGGUCUUUUUUUCCCCAUUAUUUUCAUUUAGAGUCAUUGAAAACUAAAUCUGCCCUUUUUCCUAAAGCCUUACAAACUGAAGCUGGAAGACCCAAUAUAAACUUAAGAGAGAUUCACGUCUACUGCUGUGUAAGCCACUCAAAAAGCCACCUGAUUGCUGCAUGACACCAUCAGAGACAUUUCAAACUGCAAAAGAUGCUUUGACUCUGACUUCUAGGAAUCUUGAUUGGCUGCCCCCUGGGCUCAGAAACUUGUUUAUAAUUUGCUCCAAUCAUUAACCUUGUUUUUCUCUUUAAGUUUCUCUAGAAAAUCUUCUUAUUAAAUACCUUGUUACUUACUUACAUGAUACAGGCCUACCUUCAGGAGCCCACCAGCAUCACUGCCUUAUUAAAAGACUGGUUCAAUGAGAUAAAACAACCUACGCCCCAUUUCAGCAGGAAGUAGCUAGAUGGGUCGCCACCCCAAAUCCCUAAAGAUUGACGGAUGGACAUAAAAUAGGGGGGAGUUGAUACCGACCCUGAUAUCAGUUUCCCCACAUUAAACCCAGCAUAUAUGGGGUUAAAACCAAAACACUCAUUCCCUGCUUACUCUCUGGCUUCCUGGCUCCAGAAUCCACUAUCCUCCAUGGAGAGAGACACCAUCAAGGACAAGCACCUGGACUAUCUCCUCCCGCAAAGAGAUACGGGCUGGUGGGAAAGCUGCUGACCAGCAGGGUCAUGAGCUGCCUCCUCUCUGCAAGUGUCUCAAGGCCAAAGACAGGCUGGUGGGAAAGCUCCGACCAGCAAGGCCAUAUGCUCCCCCUCCCCUACCUAAAACCCCAAAUAAGAACCCUUCCUUUCAGCUUUUCGGGGAGUUUGAGAUUUGAGCAUUAGCUGCCCUCUCUCCUUGCUCAGUGCUGUGCAAAAAUAAAAUUCCUACUUUCUUC
This 1990-nucleotide long non-coding RNA is filed under the name Equus caballus (horse). Its description in RNAcentral is "lncRNA (ENSECAG00000046614.1)". The record is from RNAcentral. Lineage: Eukaryota; Metazoa; Chordata; Mammalia; Perissodactyla; Equidae.